RNAcentral lists this ribosomal RNA (245 nucleotides) under uncultured bacterium. Its description in RNAcentral is "partial 16S ribosomal RNA". It matches the Rfam family "Bacterial small subunit ribosomal RNA", at positions 91 to 334 of the family's 1533-position model. The record is from RNAcentral.
UAAAGUGGCGACCGGGUGAGUAACACGUGACUAACCUACCUUCAAGUGGGGGAUAACCUCGGGAAACCGGGGCUAAUACCGCAUAAUAUCUUUGGGAUGGAAAUUCUGGAGAUCAAAGGAGCAAUUCGCUGGAAGAGGGGGUCGCGGCUGAUUAGCUAGUUGGCGGGGUAAUGGCCCACCAAGGCUUUGAUCGGUAGCCGGCCUGAGAGGGCGCACGGCCACACUGGAACUGAAACACGGUCCAG